ACGUAGGUGGCGAGCGUUGUCCGGAAUUAUUGGGCGUAAAGCGCGCGCAGGCGGGAAAGUAAGUCUACUCUAAAAGUGCGGGGCUCAACCCCGUGAUGGGGUGGAAACUGCUUUUCUUGAGUGCCGGAGAGGAAAGUGGAAUUCCCAGUGUAGCGGUGAAAUGCGUAGAUAUUGGGAGGAACACCAGUGGCGAAGGCGACUUUCUGGACGGUGUCUGACGCUGAGGCGCGAAAGCCAGGGGAGCGAACGG
This 250-nucleotide ribosomal RNA is filed under the name uncultured prokaryote. Its description in RNAcentral is "partial 16S rRNA". It matches the Rfam family "Bacterial small subunit ribosomal RNA", at positions 525 to 775 of the family's 1533-position model. The record is from RNAcentral.